GACGAACGCUGGCGGCGUGCUUAACACAUGCAAGUCGAACGAAGAAAGAGAAUCUGUUUUCUUCGGAGUGAAGAAUCUCUGGAGUAGUGGCGGACGGGUGAAUAACGCGUGAACAAUCUGCCUUACACAAAGGGAUAGCCUCGGGAAACCGGGAUUAAUACCAUAUGAUAUCUCUUAACCGCAAGGUUGAUUGUUUAAAGAAUUUCGGUGUAAGAUGAGCUAGGGUCCCAUUAAGUAGUUUGGUAGGGUAACGGCUUACCAAGAUGGCGAUGGGUAGCCGGCAUGAGAGGGUCAUCGGCCACACGAGAACUGAGAAUCGCUCGACACACUGGAGCGAGGCAGCGGUAGAGACUCUUCCGCGAUGGGGGAGUGGGUGACGGAGCAAAAUGGCGUGAGUGAUGAAGGUCUUACGACCGUAAAGCUCUGUUAUUAGGGAAGUCGAAAUGUGUAGGUAACUAUGCACAUCAUGACGGUACCUAAUCAGAAAGCCACGGCUAACUACGUG
This 505-nucleotide ribosomal RNA is filed under the name uncultured bacterium. RNAcentral describes it as "partial 16S ribosomal RNA". It matches the Rfam family "Bacterial small subunit ribosomal RNA", at positions 28 to 507 of the family's 1533-position model. The record is from RNAcentral.